UACAUUUAAUUAAUAAUUUCUGUACCUGGACACCUACAAACUUUAACAUUGUGUAAAUAGCACAAAUAAAAUAGAACAAACAUACAAAUUAAAAAAUUUCAAACAGUUCACUUUUUUUCUUUUAGAUGUCCAUGUCCAUUUUACACUAAGCAAUCAGUAGCGACUGAAUUCAGUUGUGAAUAUUAAAUAUUUUAACUAGAGUGGUGUUAGGUAUGAUAUCAGUCUGCAUUGCUCAUGGUGGGGUGGGACCCUUUGUGUUGGCCAGAAGGCUGUAUUGACAGCUCUCAGGGAUCCCUGCUCCACCUGUGAACAUAAUAGAGGUUUAUGACACUGAACUGCAUGACCAGCUGGACAAGGUAAGAUGUAGAUUUGACAGUUAUACUGUUUUUGGUCUUUAAGAUGUCAAAAGUUGAAUCUGUAAUGUAAUUAACACCUUAAACUCGAGGGCAAAAUUGCCUCUUUGUAUGAGACAGGGGUAGCUGCAGCCUGGAGCAAUGGGCGCGCCGAAAGGUAGGGGUGUGCCAAAAGGUUUCUCAUUGGUGAAAGUAGUUUUACUGUGCUGGCCAAUCAGCAGUAAACAUUUAUGUAAUUUCCUUAGACAAGGUGGCGGCGAUAAGACGUGAGGUAAUUAUUCAUCGUUUAUACGUUUAUCUAUACUUUAUAUACCACAAAUAUGUAUAUUAAGAUAAGUUUGUUACAAUACGAUCAUAAUUUUUACUUUGCAUUAUAUCUUGCAGCUUUAGUAAAUAGUUUAUUGUUGUUGACAGACAUAUGUACAGUGAGACAAAACAAUGACCGCAUCGACGGCGAAUCCUUCAGAGAUGAUUGUUUAUAUCUGCGUCCUUUUUGUACAAGAGAGUACAGAAUACAUCCUGUGUCGAACUAAUGCAGAGUAUAUUCAAGCUGCCAACACACUGAUGUGAAGAACGCUUUCCAGAGAAAUAUAGAAAGAAACGACUGUGUAUAGUUGACUGGAAGUCUGUCAGUCCAGAUGUGAGGAAGACACACAGAGUGGAGCUGGAGCUCAGCAGAUGUGAUGGAUGUAGAUACUGUGGUCUUCACAGCUUUCUAUUCAGACAAACAGUUUGCUGGAUUCUUAUCUAUGGACUGCUACUACAGAAUGAAUGAAUGAAUGAGUGGUUUAUCUAUCUAUCUAUCUAUCUAUCUAUCUAUCUAUCUUUUUACUUGAA
Carassius auratus (goldfish) is the source of this 1190-nucleotide long non-coding RNA. RefSeq lists it as uncharacterized. The record is from RefSeq and is a predicted model, not a curated record. The transcript has 3 exons. NCBI's taxonomy places the organism in Eukaryota, Metazoa, Chordata, Actinopteri, Cypriniformes, Cyprinidae.